GGUUUCUGCCUAGCCCUAUUCUCUCAAAACCCAAUCCCUAAUGAUGCCUCUGCCUCUUUCUCUCACACUUGGUUUCUCAGUUCCCUCUCCAUCGAUCUUUCUCUCGCUCUCUCUCUCCGUCAUGCGAGCUGUUGGAGCACACCAUGCCAGAGGAGCACUUUCUCCAUUCCGUUUAGUCGCUGGAGCACACUGGGAUGAGUCAUACCAGUACAAGUCACGGUGCACUAUCUCCCUCACACAAGUCAUGGCAGUAUCUUCCCAGCUGAAGAAAGAACAACUUUGUGAGGGAUCAUGACGAGGCGACCUUUGGUCUUGUAGCUUGACAAGACAAACGAGGGAGCUCAGAAAUACGCCGAGUUUCUUCACCUUUGCAAGAGGAGAUUCAUAGAUUUUGGAAUUGAUGUUCAGUUUUUAAGUUACAUAAUUAUUUUGCCAAAACUUGAGAAGAGAGCUGGCAAUUAGGAGUUAGAAAAUCUGAGGUCAAAUUUAGGUAAA
Humulus lupulus (European hop) is the source of this 495-nucleotide long non-coding RNA. RefSeq lists it as uncharacterized. Lineage: Eukaryota; Viridiplantae; Streptophyta; Magnoliopsida; Rosales; Cannabaceae. The transcript has 3 exons. The record is from RefSeq and is a predicted model, not a curated record.